GUAAGGAAUAUUGGACAAUGGAGGCAACUCUGAUCCAGCCAUGCCGCGUGAAGGAUGAAGGCCCUACGGGUUGUAAACUUCUUUUCUCUUAGAAAAAACUACUGGUUUCGUACCGGUACUGAUUGUACAAGAGGAAUAAGCAUCGGCUAACUUCGUGCCAGCAGCCGCGGUAAUACGAAGGAUGCAAGCGUUAUCCGGAUUCACUGGGUUUAAAGGGUGUGCAGGUGGGGUAAUAAGUCAGUGGUGAAAGCCCCCGACUCAAUCGGGGAACUGCCAUAGAUACUGUUAUUCUUGAGUGUAGUUGAGGCGGAUGGAAUAUGACAUGUAGCGGUGAAAUGCUUAGAUAUGUCAUAGAACACCGAUCGCGAAGGCAGUCCGCCAAACUAUUACUGACACUGAAACACGAAAGUGCGGGGAUCAAACAGGAUUAGAUACCCCGGUAGUCC
Molecule: ribosomal RNA, 446 nt
Filed under: uncultured bacterium
Lineage: Bacteria
Description: bacterial SSU rRNA
Rfam family: Bacterial small subunit ribosomal RNA
Source: RNAcentral